GUCUACGGCCAUGCAGCCCUGAACAAGCCCGAUCCCGUCUGAUCUCGGAAGCUAAGCAGGGUCAGGCCUGGUUAAUACUUGGAUGGGAGACCACCUAGGGAGACCAGGUGCUGUAAGAG
Molecule: ribosomal RNA, 119 nt
Filed under: Pteropus alecto (black flying fox)
Lineage: Eukaryota; Metazoa; Chordata; Mammalia; Chiroptera; Pteropodidae
Source: RNAcentral